Molecule: long non-coding RNA, 3182 nt
Organism: Anas platyrhynchos (mallard)
Lineage: Eukaryota; Metazoa; Chordata; Aves; Anseriformes; Anatidae
Source: RefSeq, a predicted model, not a curated record
UCAGAUGAGGUCUUGUUACAAGCCUCAGGAAGUGGGAUAUGUCACUAGGACUUAGCAGCAGCAAUGUCAAUAUUUGCAGCAGUGAUUUGAGUUGGUGUGAAUUCACUCCAGUCUAGCAGAACUAAAAGCAAAAAGUGGACUUCUUGGAGGUGCUGUGCCUCGUGAUACCUCUGACUGCUAAAAGUACACUGGAUCCAAGAUGACUUGUGGAUGAGUUAGAAAUUAUGAAAGUUUUUAUCACCUUGAUGGAAGAGCGAUAUCAAGGCUGACAAGUGUUUUGGCUGUGAUCAUCAAUGCAAGAGGAAGGAAUGUCUACCAACAGAUUGCAUCCCCCAGUGCUAACUGUACCUCUUGGCUUCACGUUGCACUUUGGGCUCGAGGGGACUUUGGACCUGUGUGUGACAGUCCUACUGCUUGCUGCUCCUCUGGGAGUCUGCUGGAAGAGUGCUUUAACUGCAGUUUGAAAUGGCAAUCCACUCAAAAAUCGUUCCUGAGAAAGACUGAAAGUGGCUUUUCUCAUGAUAUUUGUGCCUCACAGCAGUAGCUGGCUGAUAACUCCUACAUGGAGAAACCUGCAAACGUGGAAAAGUUUGUUUAUUUAUUAUAGAAUAAACAAAGUGAUGUCAGUACAGGUCCAUCACAUUGUGUCCAAAUAUCAAAACCAAUAUGACAUUCACAAAGUGUUAGAACCUCAGAGUGCUUGUUCAGGGGACAGAUGUUCUCAGAUUGUGGUGGAACAGAAUCCUUGAAAUUGAAGCUUGGUAAAAGUCAGGUUGCCCACAAACUUGGGGAAAAAAAUGGAGGGAAAAAAACAAAACAAAACACAACAUUCUUCCUUUAGCCUGGCCUUUGAGCAAAAACCUUAUUUAAAAACAAACAAACAAACAAAAAAAAAACAUUGAGGGGAAAAAUUCUCCUUACAUUUCUGCAAACCUGAUUUAGACACAUUACUCUGCACUUACAGGUAGGGGAUGGUGCAUAGAGAUCUCUAUAUUCAUGAUUUAUUUAAAUUUGGUCAUUAAUUCAUUGGCAAAGAACAAUAGAGUGUAUUAAACUCUUUUCCUGGAGUUCAGACACAAACAUACAUCCCAUGGGACACUGUUAUUUAUCCAUAGGUUAGAACAAUUUUGUUCUAGUUUGAUAACUGUGGAAUCAAUGAAAAAUGCAGCUUGCAGGAUCACAGGCUAAAGAGGUUAUAUGCUUUCCCAAGAUCAUUUCCUUUUCUGUUUUUUUUUUUUUUUUUUUUUUUUUUUUUUUAAAUGUGCUACUACAAUUUAUUUAGUUUUGUCUAAGUUCCAGAGGCUAUAUUUAUCCUUUGCUUCUCAUAUUUGUGUAUUCGUGUUGUUUUCAGGAAAGUUUAUAUACUUCUAAAAUUGAUGUUUUGGGUGCGUUUGUUAGUCUUUUGUCAAGCAGUUACAUGGGAACAUCUUGCCCUCUAGUGGUAAAGAAAAGCAAGACUAGAUUCAGACUAAAAUCUGAUUAAAAAGGAAUUAAAACCAAUAUGCAGCAUUUACACAGUGAAAAAUCAACUGCACAGAGCAUCACCCUGGGUGCGAGCUAUGCUUCAAGGGUCAGUGAGCCAGCAGAAUUAAUGAGUUUUGAAAAUGUUCUUAUAUACAAGUGAUUAUUUCAUGCACGUAAUGAAAAGUGCUCUAAAGUCUCCAAGCUAAGUGUUUGAAUAUUAAUAAUAAUUUGGGUAAAGUCUUCUUUGUUGUAAAACAAAGAGGCUAAUCAUAACAAAUGCCCUUUAACCUAUUCUGGAAAGCCAACAAGCAUACUACAUCACUAUUGUAAUCAGGCUUUAGAUGGGAAAAAGAAAAGUUUAAAAAAUUCUAGCCAAGAGACUUUUAAAAGGUGCUUUUGAAAAGCCUUACUCUCUGAGAUUAAUGUGUUCAAUACAAAUAUUUUUAAUUCUGCUGGCCAAAUUCAGGGCUCAGCUGAUUUAUGCUACAGUCAGACUUAUUUCUUGGCAUUUGUCUAUUUGCAGUCAGAGAGGCUGUAGAGAAGCUCCAGGAUUGAUGACAUGUUGUUUUGCCACUGAUGACACUUCUGGCUUCCAAAGCACAUGAGGUUCCCUUUUGCUUAUUCCAAAAUAUUUUCAGGUUUGAACAAGCCAGAAAUGGGCUGCAGAGCUGCUGGCCAGCUGCCUCCCACCCAAGCCCUCCUCAUGGCCAUGUCAGCAUGGGGAGAGGUGGCAGUGUUUGUGCACAGCUGAGCAUAGCCAAGGUGUAAAGGUGCUGGGGGCUCCUGAGCCCCACCAAGGGCGAAGGUGGGCCCUGGCAAUGGAGCAGCAGGGCUCACUUCAGGUCCCCGGGGAAGCUUUUCAAGACGCUGGGUGUUUCUGGGCUUAAAGCCACUAAUGGGUGCCUCUGCUCUGAUUAAUGGCAUAUUUUGCUUGUCUGUUUAAGAAGGACACUGGAAAAAGGUAUAAGCCAGUGGUCAGAGAACUGUGGUCACCAAAAGCGUGGGAUGAGUUGGGUUGCUUCAUCUCUUUUUUUACACGUAGUUGAGCAGUAGAUGGUGUACAAAGGAAAUGACAGCUGAGACGGUGAUGCUGUGCUCUGUGGCUUUCAGGAGACCACAGAACUCACAUUCAGUACUUUCCACGCCACGACCUUCAAUAAGGCUUUUAAAAUUUACAUGCAAGGAGAGCUAGUUACAAAGGGAGCUGGAAGGUGGAGGGAGUUCCUCCUCCUUUUUGUUUUUUGUUGAAACUGACUGCUCAGUAGGCUUGGAGCAAACAGCAAGGCCAUGCCCCCAUGUCACAAAAAUACCAACUGUUUUUAGGAAUUACAGGUUACUGAGCUUUGCCUUAGAUUAAUUAUAGUCCUUGUGUUUCCCAUUUUAAAUUGAUGGCGGGCCAAGAUCUGCAACACAGUCCUCUCAUGACACUAUAUCAGGUGCCACGUUUGUAGUAAAUAUAGUAAAUAGUCAUUUUAAGACUUUCUAUGCUGCAUCAUUUUAUUCUAGAAAUGCUUCUUCUCAGCUACUUUUGCUUACAGCAUUGAGCAUAAAAUUUUGUUUUGUGAAUAACAUUUUUCUUUGAUUGCAAUGAAAGGACUGAGGACCUCAGAAAAUAUAGUUUAUUCUCACCUUUCCUUGUCUGACGAACAUGAAUUCUGUUAGGUGCCUGUAGCACCUAACCAUUAAAUGUACCAACCCAUUUAAAAAAAAAAAAAAAA